RNAcentral lists this ribosomal RNA (253 nucleotides) under uncultured bacterium. RNAcentral's name for it is "partial 16S ribosomal RNA". It matches the Rfam family "Bacterial small subunit ribosomal RNA", at positions 524 to 776 of the family's 1533-position model. The record is from RNAcentral.
UACGGAGGGUGCAAGCGUUAUCCGGAUUUACUGGGUUUAAAGGGUGCGCAGGCGGAUAUGUAAGUCAGUGGUGAAAUCUCUGGGCUUAACCCGGAAAUUGCCAUUGAUACUAUAUAUCUUGAAUGCUGUGGAGGUAAGCGGAAUAUGUCAUGUAGCGGUGAAAUGCUUAGAGAUGACAUAGAACACCUAUUGCGAAGGCAGCUUACUACGCAGAGAUUGACGCUCAUGCACGAAAGCGUGGGGAUCAAACAGG